UCUUGUUCGUCUAGCCGUGUACGAAGCGAAAAGAAAAGCAACCUCUCGUCGCCUCCGUCUAACGUCAUCGCUCGCUAUAGACUCCCGAGCUCGACAAACGGAUCCACCGUGCCCGAUCUCGGUUUACGUGUUUCAGUAGAGCUUUCGCUGGUCUCAAGGAUAAACCAGUUGUUCAGUUAUUCCGGCUGGAGAGACGAAUAUCGUGUCUAUGGUGUUAGUCUGUGUCGAGAAUUUUAAGGUCUGGUAUCGUUGUUCUACAUCUUCCUUGCCGCUAAUGAACAUGGAUCCUGUGGUUCCUGAGAAGGAUCCAAGCUAUUAUGUUCGGGGUCUAAUAUCGUAACUGUUGCUCAAAGCAAUUUGGAUCCGUGUACAUGCAUAGUCGUCUAUACAUGGUGUAAAGGGUGCGUUACGAGAGCAGUGAGAUUAUAUUGCGUUCGUAGCUUGACAGGAAAUUCGCUUGGGGUGGUAGAGGAGAAUAUUUGAAAUGGAAGUUUCUAUCAAACUGCAACGAUUGUAUCCUUUGUAGCACAGCUACGUAUAAUAACAUAUUAUAAACCGAUCAAAUUGAAUUUUUAGAAUCGAUAUACAACAAUAAAACUGGAAUCUGUAAUUGUUAAACCUUAUAGAAUCAUUUUGUUGCUUUUUAUCUUCACGUUCUCUUCAACUUUUUAAUUAUAUGCCUCACAGAGAUGCCUCUCGGUGAAAAUUUCAAGCUAUUUCAAAUUUUAUCAAUACGAUCAUGAUAGACGUGUUCCAUUGCAAUGGUAACGAAAUUUCAAGAAAUUUUGUAUAAUAAGCAUAUUCGUAAAAGUUCCCUAUAAUAACUGUUCAAAUAGUCGUACUUUCGCAAGCCACUAUAAGGUAAUUUAAUUUAAAAACUUGUAUGUUUACAGAUACUUGCUGGCAUAAAAGUCAUACAUAUGGUUACUGGUAUUGUUCCACUUGAAAACGAACUUCCGCUUUUGAAUGAAGUUUAUCAUCGAACUGCAUCAAACUAUGUCCUUUUCCUUAUACGCGCUUCCCACAAUAGCUAGCUAUUCGAUUGAUUUUACCAAGUUCCAACUUGAAAUAUUCCAACCACCUUUAUUAUGCUUUCCUAUAAAUAAACGACCUUGAGAGAAUAGAUGCCAAAUCUGUUAUCGUUGCUGCGGAUUUACGACUUCAAUUAGAAUUCUAUCGAUUCGAUUACGAAAUACUUACGUGCCUAUCAUCGAGAAAUAGUUGAAAAAUAUAGUUAGAGUACGUUGGAAUAAUCAAUAUCUUCUCUGAUAAUUGCUAACAUAUGAUCUUGCAUAUUAGAACGAACUUAUAUAAUUAUAGGAAGAUGAAGAGUACUCGAAGUAUCUACUCGUUAGUGCAAAGAGGACUCUCGAAUCGAUGAAUGCAAUUCACAUUCCUUUUAUGGACACACAACGUAUUCGCGAAAGGUACAAGCGCUCGAAUACCUUCGUAAACAACUCUACAAAUUUCGUCAUUCUUCGCAAAGUUUGAUAUUAAAUGUUAAAAUGUCAAAAUGAUUCGAACGAUCCUACCUUAUUAUAUUUCCGGGUGAAAUCUUGGAUUCCCUGCACACCGUGUGUGCAAUAGUGUGCAUGGAUCGGAUCAGUAACGUACGCUGCCGCGUACAUUGUUUAUUUUCACCGGAGGCAAAACGUAUAGGAUGCUCGACGUGUAUUUACCACGGAUAACGGAACCAUGCCGAUGCUCGAGUCUUCCUCGUUGCGCGUGCGAGUUCGAGCGAGAAAACGGGACAGGCAUAAGGAGAAAGACGACCAACGAUGGAAAGAAACGAGGAAGAAACCCGUAUAGUAUCGUCAUCCGAACGAAUCCGGACUCACAGAGAAUUUCUUCGAUCGAAGAUUACAUCCCUCACGCGACGGUAAAAGUAAAAUCACGUUCGCUCAGCGCCUCCGAGCACAAUGAAUUUUACCGUACUGUUCUUGUAGAGUGUUUUUGACGGGUAACGGUAGUCGAUACGCGACUACACUCGUCCUGAUCUAUCUGAGAAAUUAUGUACAUCGUCUUACGACGGAUUCGAUAUCUCCGACCGUUUAAGCGGAAAUUAGAUCUCAGCUAACUCGACCUAUCACUGAGGAUAUAAGAGAUAAUUAACGCCUGUAGUGGCUGGACCUUGUUAAACUUACUCUUUCGACUGGUGUGUCGUUAGGCUACUGGGUAUCAUGACAAUUUAGGGUUAGACUACUCAGUUUUGGAACUUUUAAUGCAAUUGAACUUUACUAACGAUUUCUAUUACGGAGGAAAUAAAGUAUAAAAUAAAAUGAAAUACCUUGAAUUUUGGUAAUCUAACGUAAGUUAUUACAGUCAUCUAUAAGCAAACGACAUUAAAUAUGCAACAGGUAUAAUUAUUUAUGACGGUCGAUAUUUUGAAGGGGAUGAAAGAACCAAACAUUUCCAUGAAGUGUUAAAUACGGAAACAAAGUAUUUAAUAUAGUAUUAUCUAUAUUUUGAUAAUAUUUAAUAUUUCCAUCGAAAUAUCAUUUUUCUUUCGGGUCAUAUAGAUGCGAGAGGAACGAUAGUAACUAAUUAUAAUAAUUGAAUUACACGCUUGAAAGAAAAUGUUAUUGAUAAAUAAGACAAAGCUUCAAGAUCUCCUUUUCUUCCGGUAGCACAGUCAACAACCGGAAUAAAGGAACAAAGGCGGCUAGAAGAAACAUUUAAAGUGUCCAGCCAAUAGGACCUACACUUUUAGUAGCAAGUAUAAGAGACGUGAAUUAAGAAUUCCCUGAAAGUCGGAAUGGUCUCGAAUAAACAACUCUUCAGACUUCCACCAGUUUGAAAAGAGAGUUUAAUAAGUUGCUCCACAAAUAUUUUAAAGAAAAAGUUUAAUAAAAGUUUCCCUAUUACGCGUUUGUUCGAUAAAAUAUAUUCUUUUUUUAUAUCCUUACCUCCGAGAGAUCGUAUACACGCGCGUUCAAAUAAAACGAGAACGAUUUUAAUCCAAGUGUGUCGGGUGCAAGUUCGUAAUUAUUUAGUUUUUCAUUUUCUUGCGUUGAAAACCUUCAGAACUGCGUGAUAAAAUUUACAUGUUAAGAGAAAAUUAAAAAUAGAAGAAGCUCGAAACCAUAUUUAUUUAAAUUUAUAGCGAAACAAAUUUCUCAUUAGUAAGGGACAAUACUAUUCGUACAAUUGGUUUACUGCAGAAAUAAAACACAGAAAUAUUUUCACAGAUUAAUCCGCAAAUAGUAUAUGAUAUUUAAAAGAGGAUCUUAAAAAAAUUUUGGAAAAAGAUUGAGAAAGCGCAGAACAAAAUUUCCUUAAAAACUUAAUUAAUGAUAAAUUGGAUGCAGUUAUUUGAAAAAGGAUGCCCACGGAAUAAUACUUAUUACACAUUAAUUAACGGUAUUAAUUAAUAUGAAUAUUCCUGUCUCGACGAAAUGUUACCAUUAUAUGUAUCACAUUAUAUAUAUUUAAAUAUAUUUGUUAUUCUUUA
This is a long non-coding RNA of Bombus pyrosoma, 3451 nucleotides long. RefSeq lists it as uncharacterized. The transcript is spliced from 2 exons. Lineage: Eukaryota; Metazoa; Arthropoda; Insecta; Hymenoptera; Apidae. The record is from RefSeq and is a predicted model, not a curated record.